GAGGAAUAUUGGUCAAUGGGCGAGAGCCUGAACCAGCCAAGUAGCGUGAAGGAUGAAGGUCCUAUGGAUUGUAAACUUCUUUUAUAUGGGAAUAAAGUGCACCACGUGUGGUGUUUUGUAUGUACCAUAUGAAUAAGGAUCGGCUAACUCCGUGCCAGCAGCCGCGGUAAUACGGAGGAUCCGAGCGUUAUCCGGAUUUAUUGGGUUUAAAGGGAGCGUAGGCGGAUUGUUAAGUCAGUUGUGAAAGUUUGCGGCUCAACCGUAAAAUUGCAGUUGAUACUGGCAGUCUUGAGUGCAGUAGAGGUAAGCGGAAUUCGUGGUGUAGCGGUGAAAUGCUUAGAUAUCACGAAGAACUCCAAUUGCGAAGGCAGCUUGCUGGACUGUAACUGACGCUGAUGCUCGAAAGUGUGGGUAUCAAAC
Molecule: ribosomal RNA, 420 nt
Filed under: uncultured bacterium
Lineage: Bacteria
Description: bacterial SSU rRNA
Rfam family: Bacterial small subunit ribosomal RNA
Source: RNAcentral